GGGCUUCUUCUAUAAGCAGCUUGGGUUUUAUGCGUGUCUGUAUGUUUGCGGAUGUGUGUAUGUCUGAGUGUGUGUGUGUGUGUGUGGAUGUAAGUGCUGGACUUGGUGCAAAUAAAUGAAAACCGGUGUUCCUCGAAGCUCAUCUUUGGUGUGUUGGACGGAGUCGAAGUUAAGCGCAAGAGCUCCGAAACCAAGAGAAACGGUCAAUAAGGUUGGUGUAUGAAUGAUUGAGUGCGAGCAGAUGACUGAGGUGCUGAGGGAUCAGGAGCACUAGAGUGGAGGCAGCCCCAGCUGUCCUGUGUGGAAGAAAGAGGGAGGACUGAAAGAAAAGGUGCAGCAGGGCCGUCUGCCCCCCUGCAUCGCACAGGAGUGCAGCCAUGGAGCGAGUGCUCUUGUGCCUGUCUCUGUUGGUGCUGCCCAUUGCAACUAUGCUGUGCCCAAAGCGUUGCACCUGUCAGAAUCUCCUACCUUCCUACACGGUCCUGUGUGCCAAGACUGGCCUGCUCUUUGUGCCACCCAACAUCGACCGGCAGACAGCCGAGCUUCGGCUCAUGGACAACUUCAUCACCACACUCCGGCACCGCGACUUCGCCAAUAUGAGUAGCCUCAUCCAUCUGACUCUGUCUCGCAACACCAUCAGCCUCAUCCUGCCCUAUGCCUUUGCCGACCUGCAGGAGCUCCACGCGCUGCACCUUGAUGCCAACCGGCUCACCGCGCUGGACGACACACAUCUGCAAGGUCUGGUCAACCUGCGCCACCUAAUCCUUGCCAAUAACCAGCUGCAACAUAUUUCCCACGGAGCCUUCCAAGACUUCCUAGAGACUCUCGAGGAUCUGGAUCUGUCCUAUAACAAUCUGAUAAACGUCCCAUGGGACACCAUAGCUCUCCUUGUUAGCGUCAAUACACUUAGCUUGGAUCACAACCUCAUCGAGUUUGUGCCUGAGGGCAUUUUUUCCAACCUGCACAAGCUAGCAAGGCUGGAUAUGACCUCCAACAAGCUGAAGAAGAUUCCCCCGGACCCGCUGUUUCUGCGCAUACCAGUUUAUGCAAAAACAAAGGGCUCACCACUAACUGCACUGGUGCUAAGCUUUGGUGGAAACCCACUGCACUGCAACUGUGAGUUGGUGUGGCUGAGGCGACUGACACGGGAGGACGACCUUGAGACAUGCGCCUCUCCCAAAGAACUAGCUGGGAAGUACUUUUGGACCAUCCGUGAGGAGGAGUUUGUGUGCGAGCCACCCAUGAUCACACGCCACACUUCUAAGAUGUUUGUAAUGGAAGGUCAAGAGGUGAGCUUGAGGUGCAGGUCUGUGGGAGAUCCUGAACCUACAACACACUGGGUGAGUCCAGAUGGCAAGCUGAUUGCAAACACCUCUAGAACAACUGCCUAUGAGAACGGCUCUCUGGACAUCCUUACAGCCACUGUGAAAGAUUCGGGUGUGUUUACCUGUAUAGCGUCCAAUGCGGCUGGAGAGGCCACGGCCCCUGUAGAACUUGUGGUGAACCCCUCACCACAUUACGACCCUAAACUCGAACCAGAACCAGGACCCUCAGAUAUGCCCACCUCCAUCAAGUCAAACAGCAGUGGGGGGCAGACACGAGUGGAACAACGGGUUAGUGUGACCGAGAUAACAGCCACAUCAGUAACCAUCCGCUGGCCUUCACAAAGCCAUAUCCCUGGGGUUCGCAUGUACCAGAUCCAAUACAACAGCUCCACGGACGAGAUCCUCAUUUACAGGAUGAUUCCAGCCUCAUACAAGCUGUUUCAGUUGAGUGACCUGGCCUCUGCACGGGACUACGAUCUCUGUGUCUUGGCCGUUUAUGAUGAUGGAGUCACUGCCCUCACAGCUACACGCCUCGUCGGCUGCGUGUCAUUCAGCACUGAGCGUGAGUACCACCACUGCCGCUCGCUCCAUGACCAAUUCCUGGGUGGCACCAUGAUCAUCGUCAUUGGAGGCAUCAUCGUGGCCUCUGUGCUCGUCUUCAUCUUCAUCCUGCUAAUGAAGUACAAGCUUCACAGCCAGCACUACAAGCAAAAGGCAGAGCAUGUCAGCAACGUGUGUUCACAGACCAACGGCGGCCAGCAAGGAGCGGCGUCUAACCCUCCACCACCCCGCUCGUCCUCUUCCUCCGCUUCGGCAAGUAAACCAUCCAUCCUUCUCAGUCAGGAGAGGCCAGAGAGUUAUGGUGCUCAGGAGGGAGGCUAUGGGGCACUCAAAGGCACCACAGUGGUGGACUUAAAUCCAGAAUAUGGCAAGUCAUUCAAAGAAGAAGACUCAGUAUCGCAAUAACACAGGGUCAAAUCCCACCCCUUCACCCUCUCCUCCUCCUUCCCAUCUUCUGUUGUUUUUUUGUUUUUUUUUUCUGGUGCUGGGGUGUCUCUGCCUUACAGAGGAUUUCCUCAUGUCCAAGGCAGUGCCUUGUUUGGCUCAUGCCCUAGAACCAUGUUUCAAUUACAUGUAAGUGCUACUUUACCUUAUUGCUUAUUAAUUGUUUCCUCUGAUUAAUCCAAACAUUGUAUUAAUUGACAGUACGCCUUCCUCCUUACGUGAAUGAGCAUUAGAUGAUGUGUUCAUCUUUUUCAUUUUUUGUUUCCCCUCUGAGUGCAUCUGGAGUGUGUUAGAGCUCUUCUUCCAUCAGCAAAUGCCAGCAUCAUGGCCUCCUCAGCACCAGAACCUACAGCUGUCGACAUCACACAUGUUUGGAGCCAAUAUGGCCUUCAGGUCAGGUGCCAACUUUUCAUUUUCUGUCAGCACUUCUCUGGCACACAGUUUGACAGCAGUGUUCUAAAUAUGAUAUUUUGACUCUGAAUGAAUGCAUGACGGUAGUCCUGUGCAGUGACAUGAUGCUGAUGUGGAACUGCAAGUAAUAAUUAUAACUAGACCAGGCAAACAUACUUUGUAUCAAACUAUAGCCUGCCAAUAGGACAUUGGAGACGUUGUUCAUAUCACCACAGCAACAAGUGAUGCGUCAGUUUGAAAAUUGCUGGCCAAUACCAACAUCAGCCACUCAUUUCAAAUAUACUGUAUAUAUAGACUGAUAUUGUUGUUGAUAGUUUAGUGGUUCUAGUUUUGUCAAAUUUGUCUACACUUACAUGUGUUUACACCACACCCACACAAUGCUAAUAAUUUGUUUUUCAUGACAAUUCAUCAGAUGUGUCCAACUCAAGGUGCAUAUCGUACCAUUCUACCCUACAGCCACCUUAAUAUACAUACUCUACCAUAGUAUUUAA
Molecule: RNA transcript, 3232 nt
Organism: Ictalurus furcatus (blue catfish)
Lineage: Eukaryota; Metazoa; Chordata; Actinopteri; Siluriformes; Ictaluridae
Exons: 5
Source: RefSeq, a predicted model, not a curated record